Molecule: ribosomal RNA, 380 nt
Filed under: uncultured cyanobacterium
Lineage: Bacteria; Bacillati; Cyanobacteriota
Description: bacterial SSU rRNA
Rfam family: Bacterial small subunit ribosomal RNA
Source: RNAcentral
CGAAAGCCUGACGGAGCAAGACCGCGUGGGGGAGGAAGGCUCUAGGGUUGUAAACCCCUUUUCUUUGGGAAGAACAAAAUGACGGUACCAAAGGAAUCAGCCUCGGCUAACUCCGUGCCAGCAGCCGCGGUAAUACGGGGGAUGCAAGCGUUAUCCGGAAUUAUUGGGCGUAAAGAGUCCGUAGGUGGUCUUGCAAGUCUAUUGUCAAAGCCCGCAGCUUAACUGCGGAGAGGCAGUGGAAACUGUGAGACUAGAGUAUGGUAGGGGUAGAGGGAAUUCCCAGUGUAGCGGUGAAAUGCGUAGAUAUUGGGAAGAACACCGGUGGCGAAAGCGCUCUACUGGACCAUAACUGACACUGAGGGACGAAAGCCAAGGUAGCG